GAUGAACGCUGGCGGCGUGCCUAAUACAUGCAAGUCGAGCGAACAGACGAGGAGCUUGCUCCUCUGACGUUAGCGGCGGACGGGUGAGUAACACGUGGAUAACCUACCUAUAAGACUGGGAUAACUUCGGGAAACCGGAGCUAAUACCGGAUAAUAUAUUGAACCGCAUGGUUCAAAAGUGAAAGACGGUCUUGCUGUCACUUAUAGAUGGAUCCGCGCCGCAUUAGCUAGUUGGUAAGGUAACGGCUUACCAAGGCAACGAUGCCUAGCCGACCUGAGAGGGUGAUCGGCCACACUGGAACUGAGACACGGUCCAGACUCCUACGGGAGGCAGCAGUAGGGAAUCUUCCGCAAUGGGCGAAAGCCUGACGGAGCAACGCCGCGUGAGUGAUGAAGGUCUUCGGAUCGUAAAACUCUGUUAUUAGGGAAGAACAUAUGUGUAAGUAACUUUGCACAUCUUUACGGUACCUAAUCAGAAAGCCACGGCUAACUACGUG
RNAcentral lists this ribosomal RNA (497 nucleotides) under uncultured bacterium. RNAcentral describes it as "partial 16S ribosomal RNA". It matches the Rfam family "Bacterial small subunit ribosomal RNA", at positions 28 to 507 of the family's 1533-position model. The record is from RNAcentral.